Molecule: ribosomal RNA, 1085 nt
Filed under: uncultured Lutibacter sp.
Lineage: Bacteria; Pseudomonadati; Bacteroidota; Flavobacteriia; Flavobacteriales; Flavobacteriaceae
Description: bacterial SSU rRNA
Rfam family: Bacterial small subunit ribosomal RNA
Source: RNAcentral
GAGUUUGAUCUUGGCUCAGGAUGAACGCUAGCGGCAGGCUUAACACAUGCAAGUCGAGGGGCAGCACGUCUUCGGAUGGUGGCGACCGGCGCACGGGUGCGUAACGCGUAUACAAUCUGCCUUUUACAGAGAGAUACCCCAGAGAAAUUUGGAAUAAUACCUCAUAAUAUUAUUGCUUGGCAUCGAGUGAUAAUUAAAGUUUCGGCGGUAAAAGAUGAGUAUGCGUCCUAUUAGCUAGUUGGUAAGGUAACGGCUUACCAAGGCGACGAUAGGUAGGGGUCCUGAGAGGGAGAUCCCCCACACUGGUACUGAGACACGGACCAGACUCCUACGGGAGGCAGCAGUGAGGAAUAUUGGUCAAUGGGCGCAAGCCUGAACCAGCCAUGCCGCGUGCAGGAAGACUGCCCUAUGGGUUGUAAACUGCUUUUAUACAGGAAGAAACACUCUCUCGUGAGGGAGCUUGACGGUACUGUAUGAAUAAGCACCGGCUAACUCCGUGCCAGCAGCCGCGGUAAUACGGAGGGUGCAAGCGUUAUCCGGAAUCAUUGGGUUUAAAGGGUCCGUAGGCGGAUUAAUAAGUCAGGGGUGAAAUCCCACAGCUUAACUGUGGAACUGCCUUUGAUACUGUUAGUCUUGAGUUAUAUGGAAGUAGAUAGAAUGUGUAGUGUAGCGGUGAAAUGCAUAGAUAUUACACAGAAUACCGAUUGCGAAGGCAGUCUACUACGUAUAUACUGACGCUAAUGGACGAAAGCGUGGGGAGCGAACAGGAUUAGAUACCCUGGUAGUCCACGCCGUAAACGAUGGACACUAGUUGUUGGAUUUAUUCAGUGACUAAGCGAAAGUGAUAAGUGUCCCACCUGGGGAGUACGAUCGCAAGAUUGAAACUCAAAGGAAUUGACGGGGGCCCGCACAAGCGGUGGAGCAUGUGGUUUAAUUCGAUGAUACGCGAGGAACCUUACCAGGGCUUAAAUGUAGGUUGCAUUAGACAGAGAUGUUUAUUUCUUCGGACUGCUUACAAGGUGCUGCAUGGUUGUCGUCAGCUCGUGCCGUGAGGUGUCAGGUUAAGUCCUAUAACGAGCGCAACC